Molecule: ribosomal RNA, 253 nt
Filed under: uncultured bacterium
Lineage: Bacteria
Description: partial 16S ribosomal RNA
Rfam family: Bacterial small subunit ribosomal RNA
Source: RNAcentral
UACAGAGGGUGCGAGCGUUAAUCGGAAUUACUGGGCGUAAAGCGUGCGUAGACGGUUAUUUAAGUCGGGUGUGAAAGCCCCGGGCUCAACCUGGGAAUUGCAUUCGAGACUGAAUAGCUAGGGUACGGUAGAGGGAAGUGGAAUUUCCGGUGUAGCGGUGAAAUGCGUAGAUAUCGGAAGGAACAUCAGUGGCGAAAGCGACUUCCUGGACCAGUACCGACGUUCAGGCACGAAAGCGUGGGGAGCAAGCAGG